This 68-nucleotide transfer RNA is filed under the name Saccopharynx lavenbergi. Its description in RNAcentral is "tRNA-His". It matches the Rfam family "tRNA". Rfam says of the family: Transfer RNA (tRNA) molecules are approximately 80 nucleotides in length. Their secondary structure includes four short double-helical elements and three loops (D, anti-codon, and T loops). The record is from RNAcentral. Lineage: Eukaryota; Metazoa; Chordata; Actinopteri; Anguilliformes; Saccopharyngidae.
GUAGAGAUAGUUUAACAAAAACAUUAGAUUGUGAUUCUAAAAAUAGGAUAUGAUAUGCCUUAUCUACC